AACCUCCGCAAUGUGAGAAAUCGCGACGGGGGGAUCCCAAGUGCCAUUCUUAACGGGAUGGCUUUUCAUUAGUGUAAAGAGCUUUUGGAAUAAGAGCUGGGCAAGACCGGUGCCAGCCGCCGCGGUAACACCGGCAGCUCUAGUGGUAACAAUUUUUAUUGGGCCUAAAGCGUCCGUAGCCGGUUUAAUAAGUCUCUGGUGAAAUCCUGUAGCUUAACUGUGGGAAUUGCUGGAGAUACUAUUAGACUUGAGACCGGGAGAGGUUAGAGGUACUCCCAGGGUAGAGGUGAAAUUCUGUAAUCCUGGGAGGACCGCCUGUUGCGAAGGCGUCUAACUGGAACGGUUCUGACGGUGAGGGACGAAAGUUAGGGGCGCGAACCGGGAUUAGAUACCCGGGUAGUCCUAACUGUAAACGAUGCGGACUUGGUGUUGGGGUGGCUUUGAGCUGCUCCAGUGCCGAAGGGAAGCUGUUAAGUCCGCCGCCUGGGAAGUACGGUCGCAAGACUGAAACUUAAAGGAAUU
This 522-nucleotide ribosomal RNA is filed under the name uncultured bacterium. RNAcentral describes it as "bacterial SSU rRNA". It matches the Rfam family "Archaeal small subunit ribosomal RNA", at positions 345 to 866 of the family's 1478-position model. The record is from RNAcentral.